GUUAACCAUUACCCAAUUUUAUAAUUAUUUUAAAUUAUGUUAUAGAAUUCAUCUUUACUAUGUUCAUAUAUUAUUUUCCAGUGAAUCCCUCACUUUCAACCUGUAGUUAUCAGCUCAUACUACAGUUUAUAUGACAGUACUUCUAUCUGUUCUGUGCUGCUGUGAAGAAUAAAACCUUCACUCUGCUGCCCUCUAGUGUCUGCAACAACACACUGCUUCAAACUGUACUGCUACUGUCACUACUACUACAACUGUUUCUACUAUUAGUGCCUUCUGAUGUUGUUGAGUUCAUCUCUAGUAUUUUGUUUCUAUUUUAGAUUUUAUUGUUCAAUCACACAGUCAUUGAGAGUUACUGUUGCUUGAUCAAACUGGUGUUUAUGUAGAGCAGGGCCAAUGAGCAGCAUCUCAGUUUUAUCAGAAUUUAGGAGCAGGAAAUGAUGUGACAUGUAUUUUUCAACCCAGUCUCAUAUAAAAACGUACCCUGUCUACGCUGGUCCAAAGUGCCAAAACGUAGAGCAUAGCUGUGGCCCCAGAUUCCACAUAGGACUCCCUUUGUGAUUUCACUAUUCCGUGGUUAAUGGUAACAUUGUUUUUGUAUUUUUUCAUAUUGUGUUUUUUGUUUCUUGUGAACAAGAGAUAAUUGUUUUUCUCUGAAAUUUCAGGAAGAUACAACCUCUUCCUUCCAUUAGUAAACUGCUCCUGUGGAAAAACCUUGCCAGUGACCAUAAGUGAUCUGGUUGAAAGUGGUUACUGGCCAGCCACUGUCAAUUUUAGACCUUGUACAUGGUGGACUUGUUCACCACGUAUGAGGAUUGUGGCCAAAUGGCACUUGAAUCGUUGCCAUGCCGGGUACACGCCUUCAAAGGUCGCUUCAGCACCCUCUAGAGGACAUGGCCGGUGGAGUGCUGCCUCCUAUUGUGUUUGUCAACCCAAGCACAUGGCCAAGCAGCUAGGCUACAACAAGGCACGGCUGGCAACCACUAAUUACCACCUCAAGCUGCCUCCCGUUUGCCCUCGUCAGGCCAGGACAAAAGGAGCCACACCGACCAAGGGAGGUGAGCUGAUGAAGCUCAGGUGUUCCUGGACCCAUCAGAGGACAGAGACAGCUGCAGCAUCAGGACAGUCUAAAGGACACGAUCUGCACGGUUUACAUUGA
This 1156-nucleotide long non-coding RNA is filed under the name Dicentrarchus labrax (European seabass). Its description in RNAcentral is "lncRNA (ENSDLAG00005028008.1)". Lineage: Eukaryota; Metazoa; Chordata; Actinopteri; Moronidae. The record is from RNAcentral.